GGGACACGUGGUAUCCUGUCUGAAUAUGGGGGGACCAUCCUCCAAGGCUAAAUACUCCUGACUGACCGAUAGUGAACCAGUACCGUGAGGGAAAGGCGAAAAGAACCCCGGCGAGGGGAGUGAAAAAGAACCUGAAACCGUGUACGUACAAGCAGUGGGAGCCUCUUUUAUGGGGUGACUGCGUACCUUUUGUAUAAUGGGUCAGCGACUUAUAUUCUGUAGCAAGGUUAACCGAAUAGGGGAGCCGAAGGGAAACCGAGUCUUAACUGGGCGUUAAGUUGCAGGGUAUAGACCCGAAACCCGGUGAUCUAGCCAUGGGCAGGUUGAAGGUUGGGUAACACUAACUGGAGGACCGAACCGACUAAUGUUGAAAAAUUAGCGGAUGACUUGUGGCUGGGGGUGAAAGGCCAAUCAAACCGGGAGAUAGCUGGUUCUCCCCGAAAGCUAUUUAGGUAGCGCCUCGUGAAUUCAUCUCCGGGGGUAGAGCACUGUUUCGGCAAGGGGGUCAUCCCGACUUACCAACCCGAUGCAAACUGCGAAUACCGGAGAAUGUUAUCACGGGAGACACACGGCGGGUGCUAACGUCCGUCGUGAAGAGGGAAACAACCCAGACCGCCAGCUAAGGUCCCAAAGUCAUGGUUAAGUGGGAAACGAUGUGGGAAGGCCCAGACAGCCAGGAUGUUGGCUUAGAAGCAGCCAUCAUUUAAAGAAAGCGUAAUAGCUCACUGGUCGAGUCGGCCUGCGCGGAAGAUGUAACGGGGCUAAACCAUGCACCGAAGCUGCGGCAGCGACACUAUGUGUUGUUGGGUAGGGGAGCGUUCUGUAAGCCUGUGAAGGUGUACUGUGAGGUAUGCUGGAGGUAUCAGAAGUGCGAAUGCUGACAUAAGUAACGAUAAAGCGGGUGAAAAGCCCGCUCGCCGGAAGACCAAGGGUUCCUGUCCAACGUUAAUCGGGGCAGGGUGAGUCGACCCCUAAGGCGAGGCCGAAAGGCGUAGUCGAUGGGAAACAGGUUAAUAUUCCUGUACUUGGUGUUACUGCGAAGGGGGGACGGAGAAGGCUAUGUUGGCCGGGCGACGGUUGUCCCGGUUUAAGCGUGUAGGCUGGUUUUCCAGGCAAAUCCGGAAAAUCAAGGCUGAGGCGUGAUGACGAGGCACUACGGUGCUGAAGCAACAAAUGCCCUGCUUCCAGGAAAAGCCUCUAAGCAUCAGGUAACAUCAAAUCGUACCCCAAACCGACACAGGUGGUCAGGUAGAGAAUACCAAGGCGCUUGAGAGAACUCGGGUGAAGGAACUAGGCAAAAUGGUGCCGUAACUUCGGGAGAAGGCACGCUGAUAUGUAGGUGAAGCGACUUGCUCGUGGAGCUGAAAUCAGUCGAAGAUACCAGCUGGCUGCAACUGUUUAUUAAAAACACAGCACUGUGCAAACACGAAAGUGGACGUAUACGGUGUGACGCCUGCCCGGUGCCGGAAGGUUAAUUGAUGGGGUCAGCGCAAGCGAAGCUCUUGAUCGAAGCCCCGGUAAACGGCGGCCGUAACUAUAACGGUCCUAAGGUAGCGAAAUUCCUUGUCGGGUAAGUUCCGACCUGCACGAAUGGCGUAAUGAUGGCCAGGCUGUCUCCACCCGAGACUCAGUGAAAUUGAACUCGCUGUGAAGAUGCAGUGUACCCGCGGCAAGACGGAAAGACCCCGUGAACCUUUACUAUAGCUUGACACUGAACAUUGAGCCUUGAUGUGUAGGAUAGGUGGGAGGCUUUGAAGUGUGGACGCCAGUCUGCAUGGAGCCGACCUUGAAAUACCACCCUUUAAUGUUUGAUGUUCUAACGUUGACCCGUGAUCCGGGUUGCGGACAGUGUCUGGUGGGUAGUUUGACUGGGGCGGUCUCCUCCUAAAGAGUAACGGAGGAGCACGAAGGUUGGCUAAUCCUGGUCGGACAUCAGGAGGUUAGUGCAAUGGCAUAAGCCAGCUUGACUGCGAGCGUGACGGCGCGAGCAGGUGCGAAAGCAGGUCAUAGUGAUCCGGUGGUUCUGAAUGGAAGGGCCAUCGCUCAACGGAUAAAAGGUACUCCGGGGAUAACAGGCUGAUACCGCCCAAGAGUUCAUAUCGACGGCGGUGUUUGGCACCUCGAUGUCGGCUCAUCACAUCCUGGGGCUGAAGUAGGUCCCAAGGGUAUGGCUGUUCGCCAUUUAAAGUGGUACGCGAGCUGGGUUUAGAACGUCGUGAGACAGUUCGGUCCCUAUCUGCCGUGGGCGCUGGAGAACUGAGGGGGGCUGCUCCUAGUACGAGAGGACCGGAGUGGACGCAUCACUGGUGUUCGGGUUGUCAUGCCAAUGGCACUGCCCGGUAGCUAAAUGCGGAAGAGAUAAGUGCUGAAAGCAUCUAAGCACGAAACUUGCCCCGAGAUGAGUUCUCCCUGAGACUUAAAGUCUCCUGAAGGAACGUUGAAGACGACGACGUUGAUAGGCCGGGUGUGUAAGCGCAGCGAUGCGUUGAGCUAACCGGUACUAAUGAACCGUGAGGCUUAACCUUACAACGCCGAAGCUGUU
RNAcentral lists this ribosomal RNA (2542 nucleotides) under Escherichia coli. RNAcentral's name for it is "partial 23S ribosomal RNA". It matches the Rfam family "Bacterial large subunit ribosomal RNA", at positions 419 to 2925 of the family's 2925-position model. The record is from RNAcentral. Lineage: Bacteria; Pseudomonadati; Pseudomonadota; Gammaproteobacteria; Enterobacterales; Enterobacteriaceae.